Molecule: long non-coding RNA, 152 nt
Organism: Oncorhynchus masou masou (cherry salmon)
Lineage: Eukaryota; Metazoa; Chordata; Actinopteri; Salmoniformes; Salmonidae
Exons: 3
Source: RefSeq, a predicted model, not a curated record
UUCUGGGACUUACCAUGGUUACUAGGGGUGGCAUGUAUGUGUUUCAGCUCUUUGACUACUAUGCAGCCAGCGGUGUGUGCCUUUUGUGGGUUGCAUUCUUUGAAUGUAUUGCUGUUGCCUGGGUUUAUGGCGUUGAUAAUUUCUAUGAUGCG